GUUUUAAGGUCCUUCCCCUCCUGCCAUACAGUAUCUUUUGCUGUUGCUUUUUGGUUUUAUUUUGUUUUGCAAAACAGGGGAACAGUGACUUAAGGACUCUGCUUUCUGCCUGUGCCAGACAGCCACAAUAUGUGAUCAUUUAACACAUGGGUCUUAAGUUCAUUCUUGCUGCAACAGAAGGCCAUUGUACUUCCUGACCCUGAAAGCAAGAUGAAGUAACUGAGACACCAAAGGUUAAUUGCU
Molecule: long non-coding RNA, 243 nt
Organism: Nycticebus coucang (slow loris)
Lineage: Eukaryota; Metazoa; Chordata; Mammalia; Primates; Lorisidae
Exons: 3
Source: RefSeq, a predicted model, not a curated record